GUCAUGGGGCAUCCUUUGUCCCUGGGCCUAGAAGAGCCUGGAGCCUCAGAGACACCCGAGAUGCUUCCUGUGGGCCCAGUUUGUCCUCCUCCAUGGAGGGGACAGAAGGUGGUGGAGCCUCAGAACCCAGCUGGGCAAGAAAUGGACACUCAUCGCUGCAGGAGCAGGUCAGGCCCCCUGCUGUGCCCUGCGGGGGACCGGGCUCAUUCAUUCAUUUCGCUCUUUUCCGGCUCUCAGCAAGCCCACAACUCUCUCCUGGCUUUCAUUUUCAUCCAUUUAAAUUGAAAAAAAAUAAAAAACAAAUGAAACCCACUUAAGAGAAUGCCUUGAGGGGUUAGCAGA
This is a long non-coding RNA of Carlito syrichta (Philippine tarsier), 342 nucleotides long. RefSeq lists it as uncharacterized. Lineage: Eukaryota; Metazoa; Chordata; Mammalia; Primates; Tarsiidae. The transcript is spliced from 2 exons. The record is from RefSeq and is a predicted model, not a curated record.